GCAUUUUUUUUAAAAUAAUAAAAACUUUAAAAAAGGAAAAAAUUGAAAAAAUUCUUUAAAAAAUAUGAAAAACUUGCCUAAUUAGUACACAUGAUUGGAUUGUAUUUUACUUAUUUCAUUAUAGUUUUAGUGUUUUAUUAAGUUAUAUAUUUAAUUACUUAUAUUAUAUUAUAUACAUUUUAACAAAACAAUCAAUAAGCUACAUUAAAAGAGAUUUAAUUAUUAAAAGCUUCAAACAAAGAAAUUUUACUGAUAAAUGGAUAACUUGAAACAACUUACAAGUUAUAACUUACAACUUAAUUUACAAAAAGUAAGCACAACUUAUAAAAUACAAAAAAUAAACGUACUUGAAAUAAUUGUAGAGAGAUUAGAAGAUUUAGAGCUUUGGAGUAAAGAAUAGUGAAAAUGGAGGGGAUAUGAGUGCCUAUUUAUAGGCAAAAGUUCUCCAAAUUGAAAAUAAAUAAA
Magnolia sinica is the source of this 465-nucleotide long non-coding RNA. RefSeq lists it as uncharacterized. NCBI's taxonomy places the organism in Eukaryota, Viridiplantae, Streptophyta, Magnoliopsida, Magnoliales, Magnoliaceae. The record is from RefSeq and is a predicted model, not a curated record. The transcript has 2 exons.